GCAACUCGACUACAUGAAGCUGGAAUCGCUAGUAAUCGCGAAUCAGAAUGUCGCGGUGAAUACGUUCCCGGGUCUUGUACACACCGCCCGUCACACCAUGGGAGUUGGUAACGCCCGAAGUCAGUGACCUAACCGAGAGGGAGGAGCUGCCGAAGGCGGGACUGAUAACUGGGGUGAAGUCGUAACAAGGUACC
RNAcentral lists this ribosomal RNA (194 nucleotides) under uncultured bacterium. RNAcentral's name for it is "partial 16S ribosomal RNA". It matches the Rfam family "Bacterial small subunit ribosomal RNA", at positions 1307 to 1500 of the family's 1533-position model. The record is from RNAcentral.